GGGAAGAUGGCUCAGUGGUAGAGUGCUUGCCUUGCAUGCAUGAGGCCCUGGGUUC
Non-coding RNA from Dipodomys ordii (Ord's kangaroo rat), 55 nucleotides. The record is from Rfam. Lineage: Eukaryota; Metazoa; Chordata; Mammalia; Rodentia; Heteromyidae.